GGGUUGUGAGGUUAAGCGACUAAGCGUACACGGUGGAUGCCCUGGCAGUCAGAGGCGAUGAAGGACGUGCUAAUCUGCGAUAAGCGUCGGUAAGGUGAUAUGAACCGUUAUAACCGGCGAUUUCCGAAUGGGGAAACCCAGUGUGUUUCGACACACUAUCAUUAACUGAAUCCAUAGGUUAAUGAGGCGAACCGGGGGAACUGAAACAUCUAAGUACCCCGAGGAAAAGAAAUCAACCGAGAUUCCCCCAGUAGCGGCGAGCGAACGGGGAGCAGCCCAGAGCCUGAAUCAGUGUGUGUGUUAGUGGAAGCGUCUGGAAAGGCGCGCGAUACAGGGUGACAGCCCCGUACACAAAAAUGCACAUGCUGUGAGCUCGAUGAGUAGGGCGGGACACGUGGUAUCCUGUCUGAAUAUGGGGGGACCAUCCUCCAAGGCUAAAUACUCCUGACUGACCGAUAGUGAACCAGUACCGUGAGGGAAAGGCGAAAAGAACCCCGGCGAGGGGAGUGAAAAAGAACCUGAAACCGUGUACGUACAAGCAGUGGGAGCACGCUUCGGCGUGUGACUGCGUACCUUUUGUAUAAUGGGUCAGCGACUUAUAUUCUGUAGCAAGGUUAACCGAAUAGGGGAGCCGAAGGGAAACCGAGUCUUAACUGGGCGUUAAGUUGCAGGGUAUAGACCCGAAACCCGGUGAUCUAGCCAUGGGCAGGUUGAAGGUUGGGUAACACUAACUGGAGGACCGAACCGACUAAUGUUGAAAAAUUAGCGGAUGACUUGUGGCUGGGGGUGAAAGGCCAAUCAAACCGGGAGAUAGCUGGUUCUCCCCGAAAGCUAUUUAGGUAGCGCCUCGUGAACUCAUCUCCGGGGGUAGAGCACUGUUUCGGCAAGGGGGUCAUCCCGACUUACCAACCCGAUGCAAACUGCGAAUACCGGAGAAUGUUAUCACGGGAGACACACGGCGGGUGCUAACGUCCGUCGUGAAGAGGGAAACAACCCAGACCGCCAGCUAAGGUCCCAAAGUCAUGGUUAAGUGGGAAACGAUGUGGGAAGGCCCAGACAGCCAGGAUGUUGGCUUAGAAGCAGCCAUCAUUUAAAGAAAGCGUAAUAGCUCACUGGUCGAGUCGGCCUGCGCGGAAGAUGUAACGGGGCUAAACCAUGCACCGAAGCUGCGGCAGCGACACUAUGUGUUGUUGGGUAGGGGAGCGUUCUGUAAGCCUGUGAAGGUGUGCUGUGAGGCAUGCUGGAGGUAUCAGAAGUGCGAAUGCUGACAUAAGUAACGAUAAAGCGGGUGAAAAGCCCGCUCGCCGGAAGACCAAGGGUUCCUGUCCAACGUUAAUCGGGGCAGGGUGAGUCGACCCCUAAGGCGAGGCCGAAAGGCGUAGUCGAUGGGAAACAGGUUAAUAUUCCUGUACUUGGUGUUACUGCGAAGGGGGGACGGAGAAGGCUAUGUUGGCCGGGCGACGGUUGUCCCGGUUUAAGCGUGUAGGCUGGUUUUCCAGGCAAAUCCGGAAAAUCAAGGCUGAGGCGUGAUGACGAGGCACUACGGUGCUGAAGCAACAAAUGCCCUGCUUCCAGGAAAAGCCUCUAAGCAUCAGGUAACAUCAAAUCGUACCCCAAACCGACACAGGUGGUCAGGUAGAGAAUACCAAGGCGCUUGAGAGAACUCGGGUGAAGGAACUAGGCAAAAUGGUGCCGUAACUUCGGGAGAAGGCACGCUGAUAUGUAGGUGAAGUCCCUUGCGGAUGGAGCUGAAAUCAGUCGAAGAUACCAGCUGGCUGCAACUGUUUAUUAAAAACACAGCACUGUGCAAACACGAAAGUGGACGUAUACGGUGUGACGCCUGCCCGGUGCCGGAAGGUUAAUUGAUGGGGUUAGCCGCAAGGCGAAGCUCUUGAUCGAAGCCCCGGUAAACGGCGGCCGUAACUAUAACGGUCCUAAGGUAGCGAAAUUCCUUGUCGGGUAAGUUCCGACCUGCACGAAUGGCGUAAUGAUGGCCAGGCUGUCUCCACCCGAGACUCAGUGAAAUUGAACUCGCUGUGAAGAUGCAGUGUACCCGCGGCAAGACGGAAAGACCCCGUGAACCUUUACUAUAGCUUGACACUGAACAUUGAGCCUUGAUGUGUAGGAUAGGUGGGAGGCUUUGAAGUGUGGACGCCAGUCUGCAUGGAGCCGACCUUGAAAUACCACCCUUUAAUGUUUGAUGUUCUAACGUUGACCCGUAAUCCGGGUUGCGGACAGUGUCUGGUGGGUAGUUUGACUGGGGCGGUCUCCUCCUAAAGAGUAACGGAGGAGCACGAAGGUUGGCUAAUCCUGGUCGGACAUCAGGAGGUUAGUGCAAUGGCAUAAGCCAGCUUGACUGCGAGCGUGACGGCGCGAGCAGGUGCGAAAGCAGGUCAUAGUGAUCCGGUGGUUCUGAAUGGAAGGGCCAUCGCUCAACGGAUAAAAGGUACUCCGGGGAUAACAGGCUGAUACCGCCCAAGAGUUCAUAUCGACGGCGGUGUUUGGCACCUCGAUGUCGGCUCAUCACAUCCUGGGGCUGAAGUAGGUCCCAAGGGUAUGGCUGUUCGCCAUUUAAAGUGGUACGCGAGCUGGGUUUAGAACGUCGUGAGACAGUUCGGUCCCUAUCUGCCGUGGGCGCUGGAGAACUGAGGGGGGCUGCUCCUAGUACGAGAGGACCGGAGUGGACGCAUCACUGGUGUUCGGGUUGUCAUGCCAAUGGCACUGCCCGGUAGCUAAAUGCGGAAGAGAUAAGUGCUGAAAGCAUCUAAGCACGAAACUUGCCCCGAGAUGAGUUCUCCCUGACUCCUUGAGAGUCCUGAAGGAACGUUGAAGACGACGACGUUGAUAGGCCGGGUGUGUAAGCGCAGCGAUGCGUUGAGCUAACCGGUACUAAUGAACCGUGAGGCUUAACCUUACAACGCCGAAG
This 2926-nucleotide ribosomal RNA is filed under the name Escherichia coli. Its description in RNAcentral is "bacterial LSU rRNA". It matches the Rfam family "Bacterial large subunit ribosomal RNA". Lineage: Bacteria; Pseudomonadati; Pseudomonadota; Gammaproteobacteria; Enterobacterales; Enterobacteriaceae. The record is from RNAcentral.